This is a long non-coding RNA of Canis lupus familiaris (dog), 1876 nucleotides long. RefSeq lists it as uncharacterized. Lineage: Eukaryota; Metazoa; Chordata; Mammalia; Carnivora; Canidae. The record is from RefSeq and is a predicted model, not a curated record. The transcript is spliced from 9 exons.
AAGGCAGAUGCUUAACCGACUGAACCACCCAGCUUCCCCUGGCAUCUCACCAUCUGAUUGGCCUCGUACCCAGGAGCACCCUGGGAAAGAAUUUGAAUGUUCUUGGCAGUUGAGAUUCAGACCUUGACAGUUGUAGCUGAUGGAUUGGGUGGGGGCACAGCUGAUGAACCUCACAUUCCUGAGAGAGAUCAUCCAAACUUUCUAGAAGUCAUUAAGAGGGCCCUGGCUAACUGAGGAGACUCAUACAGAAACCCCUGUCUGUAUCACAGCUACAUCAUUACUGAGCUCCUCUAACCUGGCCACCCCUGACGAGGAUUAUCAUGGGCCUCAGAGAAGAAAGGAAACCAAAAAGCCAUCAACAACAAAUUGAAAACUGAAGUUGAAACGCAAAUCUGAAGAUUUGGAGUAAGAAUUAUAGUUCAUGGUUGCAUUCACCUGUGCUCACCCAGCCUGAGGGGUGUGUGUCUUUAUGAAGUUGAGCCUCUCAGAGUUAGCAUUUCAGUGGUGAAUACAGAAGACAAAACCAGUAUAGAACAAGUAACAUGGAAAGAGAAGAAGAGACAGUACUAGAUACAGAACAGACAACAGGAGGAGAAAACUCAGACUUUGGCAAAGCCACAUUACCCAAUGGGGCUGCAGGGAAUGUCAGCGAGGGGCAGGUGGGAUCGGCAGUCUGACCCCGCAGACAUGUAUUGUGCUCCUGCUGUGUGCCAAGAGAGGAGAUGUGCAAGUGUGCAAGCGGGCGGUGGACAGGCUCACCAUCGAGGAGCCCUGGCCUGGAGGGAGAGAUGGGAUUUCAGCCCACGGAGGCGAAAUGCUGAUGUGCUGCGAGGAGUAGGAAAAUAAUUCAUCCGGCCUGACUGUAUUCGUCACCACAUAGCUGGUGUGGUUGUCUCAUGUAAGCAUCAAGAAGAUAGGAAGCUAAAUCAACAGACCUUGAUUUGUUGGCUCAACCAAGUAUAAACUAGCCACUGGAAAAUCAAGUUGAAAACAUAGGACAAAUAUAUGAAAGAGACAAGCCACAGCUUGCAGGGAAGAAAAUGUUUGCAGAAAACUCCAGCAUUACAGGUUUAUCUAAGGUGUGGUCUCAGGUAAGCCCCAGUAAUUACCCAGGACACCACAGCUAGUGGCUGAAAAAUGAAGGGCUUCACAGACUUAACCCUUUCACUCCUCCUCUAGACAAUCUCAUAGGGGAAUUCACACGAUAGACAGCUUAGAUUAAACUGGAAUUGUUUUUAUUGUGAUUGAAAUUGUUUUUAAUCAUUCCUACUAUGGUGUGCCAAAGAUAUUUCUUAACUGUGGCCUUUAGCUUGUUCUUUCUCUAAUUGUAGUCAUCUAGGACUUAAUUUUAUGAUGUAUCACAGUUGAAGACCUCACCUCACCUGGGGGCUUUUUGGGAAGCAAAAACAGUUAAAAAUUGCAUUCUGAUCUGGUCUCUGGCUUGAGUGUCAAGUAUGGCUGUGAUGGAGAGAGAAACAGGUGGAAAAAAUUUUAUGCUUCUUAGCCAUCACCACUGGUGAAUCACUCUGGACCAAUUCUUCAUAAGCCCACACAAUUUGGCCUUCUUCUCUUUCAGAUGAUGUGAAUGGUGAUGAUUUGCCUACACGAGGCAGUAGUGAAAGAAAACUGGGAUAAUACUGAGCACACAUUACACAUUGUAUUCCAAUCUAUAUUUACUACACAUACACCCCAAGUUUCUUUGGCAGAAGCAGAAGGACUAAGGGAAAACUGUCUAUUGGCCUAUCAACUAUAGAGGUGGCACCUAAAAGAAACAAGCCAAGAGAUGGUAUUUACAAGGCCCAAGAAACAUCUGAGUAUCAGGAUGCAGCACUCCCCACACCAUCCCUGCCCCAUUGCAGGGCUGCCAGCCUUAGAG